AUGCCGUGAUGAGGACACUUCCGAAGCAUCUCCUUAUAUCGCUCCCAAGCUUCACAAAAGGUCUCGCCCAUUUGCUGAGAGAAUUGUGAAAUAGCAUUCCUCAAUGC
Daucus carota subsp. sativus is the source of this 107-nucleotide non-coding RNA. NCBI's taxonomy places the organism in Eukaryota, Viridiplantae, Streptophyta, Magnoliopsida, Apiales, Apiaceae. The record is from Rfam.